CACCACCAGGGUGAACUGUUGCUAGCCGCAGCGUCUCUGCCCGUGAAAGCGGCCUGUCGCGAGAGCGUCAGGUGGGUGGUGUGUCCUCGUUAAAAACCGUAAGCGCUAGUCACUACCUUGCUAGUGGCGACACCCUCAAAUUGCGGGGACAGCCUAAAGGCGCUGAGUACGAAACAGCGGGAAACCAGCUGGCCGGCCGCCGCCGGACGUGACAACCUCAGCGCAUGCUACAGUGGCCGAUCCGCAGCCGAGCCCCUAAGGGUCCACCAGGCCUAGGGGGAAGGUUCAGAGACUUGACGGGGGUGGCCCUCCUCGACCGGAGGGCUAAGAUAAAGUCCGAGCCCGGCGGCGAAAGCCCCGGGAGGUUGGCGCUCUACCAACUGAAAAAUGGGAGCCUGCGGCUUAAUUUGACUCAACACGGGGAAACUCACCAGGUCAGACACAAC
This 446-nucleotide ribosomal RNA is filed under the name Gaeumannomyces graminis. RNAcentral's name for it is "partial 18S ribosomal RNA". The stretch from base 46 to 361 matches the Rfam family "Group I catalytic intron". From Rfam's summary of the family: Group I catalytic introns are large self-splicing ribozymes. The record is from RNAcentral. Lineage: Eukaryota; Fungi; Ascomycota; Sordariomycetes; Magnaporthales; Magnaporthaceae.